This 395-nucleotide ribosomal RNA is filed under the name Oecanthus sp. Com. RNAcentral's name for it is "partial 12S ribosomal RNA". The record is from RNAcentral. Lineage: Eukaryota; Metazoa; Arthropoda; Insecta; Orthoptera; Gryllidae.
UAUUAUAAUAUAUGUAAUGAGUUAGGUUUGGGUAGUAAUAGUUAUUUUCUUGAAACUCAAAGAAUUUGGCGGUGUUUUAGUCUAUUUAGAGGAAUCUGUUCUAUAAUCGAUAAUACACGAUUAUUUUAACUUAUAUUAGUUAUCAGUUUGUAUACCGCCGUCGUAAGAAUAUCUUUGAAGGGAUGAAAUUUUCUUUAUUUUAAAUUAAAACUUAAGUCAGGUCAAGGUGCAGCUUAUAUAUAAGAAGAAAUGGAUUACAAUAAAUUUAUUUAUAUGAAUAUAAUUUUUAAAAUGUUAUUGAAGGUGGAUUUAAUUGUAAAUAUUAUUAUUUAAUAAUGUUGAUUUUAGCUCUAAAAUGUGCACAUAUCGCCCGUCGCUCUCAUUAUUAAAGUGAG